This 309-nucleotide long non-coding RNA is filed under the name Setaria viridis. Its description in RNAcentral is "long non-coding RNA (SVIR_LNC010760)". Lineage: Eukaryota; Viridiplantae; Streptophyta; Magnoliopsida; Poales; Poaceae. The record is from RNAcentral.
UGAAAACAUGUUGAUAUAACAGGUUUAAACUAAAUUGGAGAUGAGCAAUUUGGAGUCUGAACCCCCAAAUACAUGGAAUUAGUGCAAUGAUUAUUGUAACGAUCUUAAUUUGGAACUAUGAAUUUAUUUCAAAAUUUUAUUUUUUUGGAACAUGUAAUUUAUUAUUAUUUUGGACAUGUACUUUCAUUUUAUAUUUGUGAUAAGUAGUUCAAGUCAAACCAGGGGUAAGAAAGGCAAUCUACCCUCAAACUCCUCUUUUUUGGAGCUAGGGACACCCUCCUAGCCAAACACCCUCACCAGACAGCUCCA